Molecule: long non-coding RNA, 417 nt
Filed under: Monodelphis domestica (gray short-tailed opossum)
Lineage: Eukaryota; Metazoa; Chordata; Mammalia; Didelphimorphia; Didelphidae
Description: lncRNA (ENSMODG00000032868.1)
Source: RNAcentral
GGUAAAUCUCUUAGGGACCAUGUGCUCUGCUCUGCCCCCAUCCCCACCCCAGAGACCACAUGCCAUGUUCUACUCCCCUACUGAGUGCUGAGCAUGAUCUCCCCCCUCCCACAUACUCCACCAGGGGAGGGAGAAAGAACUUCCAUUGGACUGUUGGGCAGAGGGGUGGGUAAAGUGAAGAAUGUCCUCAGAGAACUCAUCUAGAACCUUUGGAAUCCUAUGUAUCCCAUGUCCCAGUCAUUUCCUAGGUAGCCAAAACUCCCAGACAAUAUUAUGCUACAGCCAGAGCUUGAAGAAAGAGUUCAUCUAAGGCAUCUGUGCAAGGAAAUUUACUGCCAAAUGGAAAUAACUUCACCAGGUCCCUGGGCCAGCUACUUUCCUCUGGAAAUUCUAUUGCUACCUACCCUAAGCAAUUAA